RNAcentral lists this ribosomal RNA (483 nucleotides) under uncultured bacterium. RNAcentral's name for it is "bacterial SSU rRNA". It matches the Rfam family "Bacterial small subunit ribosomal RNA", at positions 1 to 507 of the family's 1533-position model. The record is from RNAcentral.
AGUAGUUUGACUCCGGCUCGAGGACGACGCUGGCGGCGUGCUUAACACAUGCAAGUCGAACGGUAAGGCCCUUCGGGGUACACGAGUGGCGAACGGGUGAGUAACACGUGGGUGAUCUGCCCUGCACUUCGGGAUAAGCCUGGGAAACUGGGUCUAAUACCGGAUAGGACCAUGGACUUCACGGUUUGUGGUGGAAAGCUUUUGCGGUGUGGGAUGGGCCCGCGGCCUAUCAGCUUGUUGGUGGGGUAAUGGCCUACCAAGGCGACGACGGGUAGCCGGCCUGAGAGGGUGUCCGGCCACACUGGGACUGAGAUACGGCCCAGACUCCUACGGGAGGCAGCAGUGGGGAAUAUUGCACAAUGGGCGCAAGCCUGAUGCAGCGACGCCGCGUGAGGGAUGACGGCCUUCGGGUUGUAAACCUCUUUCAAUAGGGACGAAGCGCAAGUGACGGUACCUAUAGAAGAAGCACCGGCCAACUACGUG